UCAUCAGUCAUGUUCUCUGUAGCUCUGAUACUGCUGUUGGCAUCUGGAUCCUGUGUGUACAGUAUAGACCUGAUCCAGCCAGACUCAGUGGUCCUGCAGCCUGGACACACUUUGACCAUCAGCUGUCAGGUCUCUGGUUAUUCUCUGACUGACGACAGCUAUGCAACAGGUUGGAUCAGACAGCGUGAAGGAAAACCAAUGGACUGGAUUUUCCACCUGUGGGGUGGAGGAGGUCUACCACAGAAUGAUGCUUUUAAGAACAAAUUUAGCUUCAGCAGGGACACAUCUGCCAGAACAGUAACUAUUACAGCACAAAACCUACAGCCUGAAGACACAGCUGUUUAUUACUGUGUACCUUACCGCACAGUGACACAAACACCAACAGACCUGCACAAAUACCCAAACCAUCCAGACUGUAUUACACAUGACCCCAGAAAGAAAUAA
Non-coding RNA from Sphaeramia orbicularis (orbiculate cardinalfish), 444 nucleotides. Lineage: Eukaryota; Metazoa; Chordata; Actinopteri; Kurtiformes; Apogonidae. The record is from the annotation of a RefSeq genome assembly.